This 111-nucleotide ribosomal RNA is filed under the name Vibrio parahaemolyticus. Its description in RNAcentral is "partial 16S ribosomal RNA". The record is from RNAcentral. Lineage: Bacteria; Pseudomonadati; Pseudomonadota; Gammaproteobacteria; Vibrionales; Vibrionaceae.
CUUAAAUUGAAGAGUUUGAUCAUGGCUCAGAUUGAACGCUGGCGGCAGGCCUAACACAUGCAAGUCGAGCGGAAACCAGUUAUCUGACCCUUCGGGGAACGAUAACGGGGG